UUGUGGAGGAGGACGCCGAAGGUGGGGCUAAUGACUGGGGUGAAGUCGUAACAAGGUAGCCGUACCGGAAGGUGCGGCUGGAUCACCUCCUAACAGGGAGACAACAAAAUGUUUAAUAUUAUUAUUUUGUCACCUUAGGUCGAUCGGUAUCUCACAUUCUUAAUUUAUUAAGGAUUUCAUUUCCUAAGUUUUUCUAGGUCACACCCAUUAUUUUUCCUGGGCCAUUAGCUCAGGUGGUUAGAGCGCACCCCUGAUAAGGGUGAGGUCCCUGGUUCAAGUCCAGGAUGGCCCAUAUCUCUAUGUUGGGGGUAUAGCUCAGUUGGUAGAGCGCCUGCUUUGCAAGCAGGACGUCAGCGGUUCGAGUCCGCUUACCUCCACUGAUUACCACCUCUUCCAUAAUUUGAUGAAGGAAAUGUUUUGAGUUGUGAUCAAAUUCUGAACGAUUCUAGCUUCCUAAUGAAAUCAUUAAGAUGCUGGACUCAUUGAAUUAAUUUCAUUGUUUUCAGAGAACCUUGACAACUGCAUAGAUUAUUUUUAAAGACAAUAAGCAUCUUUAAUGAUGCAGAUUUAUUAUUUGUGCGAAUGCAUUAAUAACAAUUCUAUUAAGCUGAUGCUUCAAUAUAUUGAAGUUAUUGGUCAAGCUACAA
RNAcentral lists this unclassified non-coding RNA (647 nucleotides) under uncultured Prochlorococcus sp. RNAcentral's name for it is "partial 16S-23S ribosomal RNA intergenic spacer; may also contain 16S ribosomal RNA and 23S ribosomal RNA". The stretch from base 1 to 93 matches the Rfam family "Bacterial small subunit ribosomal RNA", at positions 1441 to 1533 of the family's 1533-position model. Lineage: Bacteria; Bacillati; Cyanobacteriota; Cyanophyceae; Synechococcales; Prochlorococcaceae. The record is from RNAcentral.